UACGAAGGGGGCUAGCGUUGUUCGGAAUCACUGGGCGUAAAGGGCGCGUAGGCGGCCGUUCAAGUCGGGGGUGAAAGCCUGUGGCUCAACCACAGAAUUGCCUUCGAUACUGGACGGCUCGAGACCGGAAGAGGUCAGUGGAACUGCGAGUGUAGAGGUGAAAUUCGUAGAUAUUCGCAAGAACACCAGUGGCGAAGGCGGCUGACUGGUCCGGUUCUGGACGCUGAGGCGCGAAAAGCGUGGGGGAGCAAACAGG
Molecule: ribosomal RNA, 256 nt
Filed under: uncultured bacterium
Lineage: Bacteria
Description: partial 16S ribosomal RNA
Rfam family: Bacterial small subunit ribosomal RNA
Source: RNAcentral